UACGGAGGAUGCGAGCGUUAUCCGGAUUUAUUGGGUUUAAAGGGUGCGUAGGCGGCCUUGUAAGUCAGCGGUGAAAUUUUGUCAGCUUAACUGUAAAAGUAGCCGUUGAUACUGUGAGGCUAGGAUUUGGUUUGCUGUGGGUGGAAUGUGUGGUGUAGCGGUGAAAUGCUUAGAGAUCACACAGAAUAUCGAUUGCGAAGGCAGCUCACAAAGCCAAGAUUGACGCUGAGGCACGAAAGUAGUGGGGAGUCAAACAGGAUUA
Molecule: ribosomal RNA, 262 nt
Filed under: uncultured prokaryote
Description: partial 16S ribosomal RNA
Rfam family: Bacterial small subunit ribosomal RNA
Source: RNAcentral